CAUUUUUGUUACGGGCAAACUCCCUUCGCCUCUUUGGUCAAUACCAUGCAAUUCUGAUGGUCUCUGUCCGUUACCUCUUAAGCAACGUGAUCCUCGUGGAAGGGCAAGUAUACUUUUCUCCCCAGGGAACACUCCCGCUUCGGAAAAGGGCUGAAUUCCCGACGCUACUUUCAGACUACGGAAGAGUCCCAGGGUCAAAGCGAACCAGCUCUUGCCUAGUUGUUCGGUGCGCCCAGAGGGGCGUUUCAGAGCUAUCUAUUGGAGUACAUAUUUGGAUUGAUUCAUAAAAACCUAGGAUGGGAGAAGAAGUUAAUGUGGGACAGAAAAAGCAUGAUAAAUCAGCUAACGCAUGAUUAGCUAUGAGCUGAUAAUUAUGAAGGAAGUGAAAUAUCAACAAAAGGAUCAUUCACUGUGGAGAUCUUGAAAAGGAAACAGAUUGAGAACUUCAGUUAGAAUUCUAGUAUAGACAUGUAAUUUAAUAAAGUAUCAAAUUGAGCUUCCCGAGGAACUUAAAUUUUAAGUUUAAAACAUGUUCCUGGAACGAAUAGUGACUUAAUUGGGAAUCACAGCACAUUGUUAAUCAAAAUAAGAUAUUUCCAAAUUUCAGUGAAUGUAAACCAGUUGAAGUUUAUAAUAAUGUCAAUAUGUCUAACCUAUAUAUUUAAAGGAACUUCAAAAUAAACUUGUGUU
This is a long non-coding RNA of Tupaia belangeri chinensis (Chinese tree shrew), 690 nucleotides long. RefSeq lists it as uncharacterized. NCBI's taxonomy places the organism in Eukaryota, Metazoa, Chordata, Mammalia, Scandentia, Tupaiidae. The record is from RefSeq and is a predicted model, not a curated record. The transcript has 4 exons.